GAUGAACGCUGGCGGCGUGCCUAAUACAUGCGAGUCGAGCGAAUGGAUUAAGAGCUUGCUCUUAUGAAGUUAGCGGCGGACGGGUGAGUAACACGUGGGUAACCUGCCCAUAAGACUGGGAUAACUCCGGGAAACCGGGGCUAAUACCGGAUAACAUUUUGAACCGCAUGGAUCGAAAUUGAAAGGCAGCUUCGGCUGUCACUUAUGGAUGGACCCGCGUCGCAUUAGCUAGUUGGUGAGGUAACGGCUCACCAAGGCAACGAUGCGUAGCCGACCUGAGAGGGUGAUCGGCCACACUGGGACUGAGAAACGGCCCAGACUCCUACGGGAGGCAGCAGUAGGGAAUCUUCCGCAAUGGACUAAAGUCUGACGGAGCAACGCCGCGUGAGUGAUGAAGGCUUUCGGGUCGUAAAACUCUGUUGUUAGGGAAGAACAAGUGCUAGUUGAAUAAGCUGGCACCUUGACGGUACCUAACCAGAAAGCCACGGCUAACUACGUGCCAGCCGCCGCCGUAA
Molecule: ribosomal RNA, 515 nt
Filed under: uncultured bacterium
Lineage: Bacteria
Description: partial 16S ribosomal RNA
Rfam family: Bacterial small subunit ribosomal RNA
Source: RNAcentral